Molecule: ribosomal RNA, 491 nt
Filed under: uncultured bacterium
Lineage: Bacteria
Description: bacterial SSU rRNA
Rfam family: Bacterial small subunit ribosomal RNA
Source: RNAcentral
GAUGAACGCUGGCGGCGUGCCUAAUACAUGCAAGUCGAGCGAACAGACGAGGAGCUUGCUCCUCUGACGUUAGCGGCGGACGGGUGAGUAACACGUGGAUAACCUACCUAUAAGACUGGGAUAACUUCGGGAAACCGGAGCUAAUACCGGAUAAUAUAUUGAACCGCAUGGUUCAAUAGUGAAAGACGGUUUUGCUGUCACUUAUAGAUGGAUCCGCGCCGCAUUAGCUAGUUGGUAAGGUAACGGCUUACCAAGGCAACGAUGCGUAGCCGACCUGAGAGGGUGAUCGGCCACACUGGAACUGAGACACGGUCCAGACUCCUACGGGAGGCAGCAGUAGGGAAUCUUCCGCAAUGGGCGAAAGCCUGACGGAGCAACGCCGCGUGAGUGAUGAAGGUCUUCGGAUCGUAAAACUCUGUCCUUGGUGACGAAGAAAAUGACGGUAGCCAAGGAGGAAGCCCCGGCUAACUACGUGCCAGCAGCCGCGGUAC